ACACUCUUAGCACCCUACAAGCAGGUAUGUGCUUACCAGCAAACUAAAGCAAAUGGAAAUUAAGAAGCAUGAUCACCACCAGCAAGGUGCUGCUGAACUAUAAGCCUUCAGAUGGUCAGAUAAAGUACCUGAUGCUGAAAAACAGGAAAUUGAAUCAUGUCUCCAAAAUGUGCCUUUUGUCAUGCACUGUUACAGCUAUAUUUCUUGUAACUACAUUCAGCCUCCAGCCAAGAUAAAGAAUUAUGUGAUACAUACUUCAUCUUCCAUCACUGCUUUCAAAAGAUGUGAAUUCUGCAAACCAGACAGAAGAGGGAGCUAUCCAUCUGGAAAUUAACCAAUCCUUUCAAAAACAUGUCAAAUAAAUAUAGAAGAAAAUUCUAAUAUAAUCAAGUCUUAUUUAGUCUUGUAUUUUAUAAAAAUACUAUAAUUUUUCUGGUGCAUUAAAAAUGACAAAGAAAACGACCAGUAAAGGCAAAAACAUUGAGUUAAUUAAUGAAAAGGCAAAAUAUACAAACGAUUAAAAGGCCAAUUAAAAAUACACUCACAUUUUACGGUUUGAUCUCACAUUUUAUAGCAAAAUGUAAAACCAGAACACACCUCCAAAAAGGGCAAAAUAAUACUCUGCUGCUAUACGUAUUACUAAUAUCACCUUCCUAUAGAUCCUGUUCUUAAAAUGGAAUGCUGACUUUAAAAUUGAUAACAUCUGGAAAUAAUGGCAAAAAGGAAAAACUGUUGGGCUGCAUCUGUCUUGAAAAUGCUAUGUAAUAAGAUUUACUUAAUAUAUUUGAAAAAGGAAAAAUGUUUUGUUCCCCAAUUUGUUGCAACAUCUGAAAGUUCACGAGGUUAUGACCCCUCUUUAAGAAAGCAUCUCCCACCACCUGCAAAUACCCCAGGAAAAGCAGUUGGAAACAAUAAAACACGUGCUAGUUAACUGUUACCAGGGAAACGGUUCUGGUUCACCAAUCAGAGCGCCUGUGCUUCCCAGUGGCUUUGUCCGGGGGAGACAUGCGCCAGCUGUUAGUGAAUAACCAUUGUUAUAGAUCAUCAGGAAAUCACAGUCAGCAGGCAACCCAGCCCCACUGGAAGUUUAUUUCUCAUAUUUGUUCAUCACCAGGGCAAUUCUCCACCUUUAAAACAUCCUCUUAGGCUGGGUUAACUAAAUAACACCCUACACGGGUAAGGUCAUUUAAAAAAGGCAAGUUGCAAAAUGGUCUUUUUGCCAGCAAACAGAUUUCUAACUUUGAUUCCAAAUGCAUCACCCUCCUGUCCCCUUCACUUUCCAGUGGCAAUUUUAAGACUGAUAUCUAAAGUCUGUGCUCCUUUGAGUGCUGUUCCUCCUUCACCUAACUGGCACUCCAGGUACCAAGAGCUUUCACACCAUACCCUCCAAGACCUGUCAGAGAUCAUUUGGCAGUUCCCAUGCUGGAAAGACCAGUGUGAUUUGCAAACGGGGAGUUCUGAAGAGGCUGGCCUGUCAUGAGGAAAGGGGCUGAGAGGACAAAACCCUGGUUCCCUCCCUCGCUAACACACACAAUUCAACCAGAAUAGCCCCACUUUAUCAAUUUUAUUAUUUUUAUAAAUUUAUAAAUUCAUAUAUUUUUUGAAAAAAGAUGGCGUUACUUUUUAAAGUUUAAAAACCAGCUCUCAACCUAUCCAAUCAUCAGACUCAUCUUAAAAAGUAAAGUCAUCAAGAGUUUUAGUUUCAGGUCCAGCAUGUUAGGCUGUUAAGAAGUCACCACUCUAACAACAAGUAAAAAAGCCAAACAAACUGAAAAAUCAGCAACUCUUCUUAGAUCUGUCAGAGAAGUGAGGUCACAGGACAAAUCACUGUCCCCCAAAUUGGAGAGACAGACAGACAAAUAGAAUCACAACUUACUAGAGCAGAAGUCUAUGAGCAGUCUCUUUCUCAGGAGUCAGUGCCAGGGUUAGAAAACCAGAACUGCAAUUGCUAGAAGAUCAGUGUGGACAAGUUUAAGAAUUAAAACUCAGGAGGACCCAGACAUGUGGUCUAACACACGUUACCAAUAGAGAAGCAAAAAUAAGAAUUACACCUGACUGGUCCUCAGAACAUGCAAGCAAGAAGAGAGUGGUGUAAAAUAUUUAAACUAUUGAGAUAGAAACUACCAGCCUAGAACUCUAUACACUGUGAAAUUAUCCUUCAAAAGUAAAGAAGAAAUAAAGACUUUCUCAGGCAAAAAUUGAAAGUAUUUGUUGGCCAGUAGUCCUGCCUUGCAAGAAAUUCUUCAAAGAAGUUCUUCAGAGCAAAAGAAAAUUAUAUAGGUUAGAAACUCAGAUCUACGUAACGAAAUGAGCAAUGGAGAAUCAAUCAGUGAAAGUGAAAUAAAACUUUUAUUUUUCUUAUUCUUAAAUGAUUUAACACAAAACUGUUCAAAAUAACAGCAAUGAUAUAUUCAAUUAUGUAUACUUAUAUGUUUUAGAUAUAUGUGCACACACAUAAACAUACAUAUGUAUGCUAAUGUAUGCUUAUAUGUAAGUGAAUGAAUAAUGGCAAUGAUACAAAAGGGAGAACAGAAGAGUUAGGAAUAUUUUGUUAUUAUAAUGUACUUGCACUGCUCAUAAAGCAGUAUAUUGUUAAUUGGACUUGAAUUCAUUAUAAAUGUCUAUUGCAAACUUU
RNAcentral lists this long non-coding RNA (2635 nucleotides) under Homo sapiens (human). Its description in RNAcentral is "HSALNT0302603". The record is from RNAcentral. Lineage: Eukaryota; Metazoa; Chordata; Mammalia; Primates; Hominidae.